GAAUCUACACUGAGCUUCCAGCAUUUCAUCAAUUACAGUUUAAAGUAUUUCUACCAAUAUUGGCUCCAGCUGCUAGUUUUGCUCUGGACUUUUCUGCUCCUGACGGAGCCUCGCCCUUCACUCUGUCGCCCAGGCUGGAGUGCAAUGGUGUGAUCUCGGCUCACUGCAACCUCUGCCUCCCGGGUUCAAGCGAUUGUCCUGCCUCAGCUUCCUGAGUAGCUGGGACUACAGGUGUGUGCCACCAAGCACGGCUAAUUUUUGUAUUUUUAGUAGAGAUGGGGUUUCACCGUGUUAGCCAGGAUGGUCUCAAUCUCCUGACCUCGUGAUCCUCCUGCCUCAGCCUCCCAAAGUGUUGAGAUUACAGGUGUGAGCCACCGCACCCAGUCCUCUCUCUCUCAAUCUUUUUUUGUUUUUAAAGUAAUGAGGAGAUUUAACUUUUACGUAUAACAGGAGGAACUUUAGAAGUGAGAAAGUCAAGAAUUAUGUAGUGACUCAGUGAUGUCAUGGCACUUUACUUGUGUCUCUGCCAAGUUCUCAUGGUUGCAAGAAGGUUGCCAGUGCUCCUAGUCAAGGAGAGAUCCCAAAGAAGGAAACGGGAAGUGGGUGAAGCAAUACCUUUAUAUUAAUUAUUUUCCUUCACACUUAAACACAGAUCCAAGUGGUUUAAUAGCAAUGAAUAUCCAGUUGAAGCUACAGAUUUAUCAUUUUCGGCACAAUUAAUGUGUGUGUUGUCUUAACUGUAAUUUUAUGAGACCUAUACACAUUGACAGUAUCAUCAAUUUUUUUUCUGUUUGGACUCAUGUAAAUGUAAUAAAAGAAAAUUGCUGAAAAAUAUUUAAAUAAAUGUAGCAACAAAGGUAUAUAUCUGAAGCUAGUGGCAUUGAC
This 885-nucleotide long non-coding RNA is filed under the name Homo sapiens (human). RNAcentral's name for it is "HSALNT0366487". The record is from RNAcentral. Lineage: Eukaryota; Metazoa; Chordata; Mammalia; Primates; Hominidae.